RNAcentral lists this ribosomal RNA (443 nucleotides) under uncultured Pelotomaculum sp. RNAcentral describes it as "bacterial SSU rRNA". It matches the Rfam family "Bacterial small subunit ribosomal RNA", at positions 338 to 795 of the family's 1533-position model. The record is from RNAcentral. Lineage: Bacteria; Bacillati; Bacillota; Clostridia; Eubacteriales; Desulfotomaculaceae.
CCUACGGGGGGCUGCAGUGGGGAAUCUUCCGCAAUGGGCGCAAGCCUGACGGAGCAACGCCGCGUGAGUGAAGAAGGCCUUCGGGUUGUAAAACUCUGUCUUCAGGGAAGAAAAAAAUGACGGUACCUGAGGAGGAAGCCCCGGCUAACUACGUGCCAGCAGCCGCGGUAAAACGUAGGGGGCGAGCGUUGUCCGGAAUUACUGGGCGUAAAGGGCGCGUAGGCGGUUAUCCAAGUCAGGGGUGAAAACUCUGGGCUCAACCCAGAGCGUGCCUUUGAAACUGGGUAACUUGAGGGCAGGAGAGGGGAGUGGAAUUCCCAGUGUAGCGGUGAAAUGCGUAGAUAUUGGGAGGAACACCAGUGGCGAAGGCGGCUCUCUGGCCUAACCCUGACGCUGAGGCGCGAAAGCGUGGGGAUCAAACAGGAUUAGAUACCCCGGUAGUC